RNAcentral lists this ribosomal RNA (1248 nucleotides) under uncultured Gammaproteobacteria bacterium. Its description in RNAcentral is "bacterial SSU rRNA". It matches the Rfam family "Bacterial small subunit ribosomal RNA", at positions 9 to 1252 of the family's 1533-position model. Lineage: Bacteria; Pseudomonadati; Pseudomonadota; Gammaproteobacteria. The record is from RNAcentral.
GAGUUUGAUCCUGGCUCAGAUUGAACGCUGGCGGCAGGCUUAACACAUGCAAGUCGAACGGUAACAUGAGUGCUUGCACUUGAUGACGAGUGGCGGACGGGUGAGUAAUGUAUGGGGAUCUGCCGAAUGGAGGGGGACAACAGUUGGAAACGACUGCUAAUACCGCAUAAUGUUGAGAAACCAAAGCAUGGGACCUUCGGGCCAUGCGCCAUUUGAUGAACCCAUAUGGGAUUAGCUAGUUGGUAGGGUAAAGGCUUACCAAGGCGACGAUCUCUAGCUGUCUGAGAGGAUGACCAGCCACACUGGAACUGAGACACGGUCCAGACUCCUACGGGAGGCAGCAGUGGGGAAUAUUGCACAAUGGGGGAAACCCUGAUGCAGCCAUGCCGCGUGUAUGAAGAAGGCCUUCGGGUUGUAAAGUACUUUCGGUAAUGAGGAAGGUGGUGUAUCUAAUAGGUGCAUCAAUUGACGUUAAUUACAGAAGAAGCACCGGCUAACUCCGUGCCAGCAGCCGCGGUAAUACGGAGGGUGCGAGCGUUAAUCGGAAUGACUGGGCGUAAAGGGCAUGUAGGCGGAUAAUUAAGUUAGGUGUGAAAGCCCUGGGCUCAACCUAGGAAUUGCACUUAAAACUGGUUAACUAGAGUAUUGUAGAGGAAGGUAGAAUUCCACGUGUAGCGGUGAAAUGCGUAGAGAUGUGGAGGAAUACCGGUGGCGAAGGCGGCCUUCUGGACAGAUACUGACGCUGAGAUGCGAAAGCGUGGGGAGCAAACAGGAUUAGAUACCCUGGUAGUCCACGCUGUAAACGAUGUCGAUUUGGAGUUUGUUGCCUAGAGUGAUGGGCUCCGAAGCUAACGCGAUAAAUCGACCGCCUGGGGAGUACGGCCGCAAGGUUAAAACUCAAAUGAAUUGACGGGGGCCCGCACAAGCGGUGGAGCAUGUGGUUUAAUUCGAUGCAACGCGAAGAACCUUACCUGGUCUUGACAUCCACAGAAUCUUGCAGAGAUGCGAGAGUGCCUUCGGGAACUGUGAGACAGGUGCUGCAUGGCUGUCGUCAGCUCGUGUUGUGAAAUGUUGGGUUAAGUCCCGCAACGAGCGCAACCCUUAUCCUUUGUUGCCAGCGAUUCGGUCGGGAACUCAAAGGAGACUGCCGUUGAUAAAGCGGAGGAAGGUGGGGACGACGUCAAGUCAUCAUGGCCCUUACGACCAGGGCUACACACGUGCUACAAUGGCGUAUACAAAGGGAGGCGA